GACGAACGCUGGCGGCGUGCUUAACACAUGCAAGUCGAACGGAAAGGCCCUGCUUUUGUGGGGUGCUCGAGUGGCGAACGGGUGAGUAACACGUGAGUAACCUGCCCUUGACUUUGGGAUAACUUCAGGAAACUGGGGCUAAUACCGGAUAGGAGCUCCUGCUGCAUGGUGGGGGUUGGAAAGUUUCGGCGGUUGGGGAUGGACUCGCGGCUUAUCAGCUUGUUGGUGGGGUAGUGGCUUACCAAGGCUUUGACGGGUAGCCGGCCUGAGAGGGUGACCGGCCACAUUGGGACUGAGAGACGGCCCAGACUCCUACGGUAGGCAGCAGUGGGGAAUAUUGCACAAUGGGCGGAAGCCUGAUGCAGCAACGCCGCGGGCGGGAUGACGGCCUUCGGGUUGUAAACCGCUUUCGCCUGUGACGAAGCGGGAGUGACGGUAAUGGGUAAAGAAGCACCGGCUAACUACGUG
Molecule: ribosomal RNA, 468 nt
Filed under: uncultured bacterium
Lineage: Bacteria
Description: partial 16S ribosomal RNA
Rfam family: Bacterial small subunit ribosomal RNA
Source: RNAcentral